AUUGAACGCUGGCGGCACGCUUAACACAUGCAAGUCGAGCGGGGGAAGGUAGCUUGCUACCGGACCUAGCGGCGGACGGGUGAGUAAUGCUUAGGAAUCUGCCUAUUAGUGGGGGACAACAUCUCGAAAGGGAUGCUAAUACCGCAUACGUCCUACGGGAGAAAGCAGGGGAUCUUCGGACCUUGCGCUAAUAGAUGAGCCUAAGUAGGAUUAGCUAGGUGGUGGGGUAAAGGCCUACCAAGGCGACGAUCUGUAGCGGGUCUGAGAGGAUGAUCCGCCACACUGGGACUGAGACACGGCCCAGACUCCUACGGGAGGCAGCAGUGGGGAAUAUUGGACAAUGGGGGGAACCCUGAUUCAGCCAUGCCGCGUGUGUGAAGAAGGCCUUAUGGUUGUAAAGCACUUUAAGCGAGGAGGAGGCUACUUUAGUUAAUACCUAGAGAUAGUGGACGUUACUCGCAGAAUAAGCACCGGCUAACUCUGUGCCAGCCGCCGCAGUAA
Molecule: ribosomal RNA, 501 nt
Filed under: uncultured bacterium
Lineage: Bacteria
Description: partial 16S ribosomal RNA
Rfam family: Bacterial small subunit ribosomal RNA
Source: RNAcentral